UUCUGCCAGGGAUAGAAGUGGAAAGCCCGUAAAGAAGAAAACCGUAAAAAAUAAGGAUUAGGAAAGCGACCAGCGGAAGCUUUGCUAAGACUAUAUUUUUUUGGUUGACGACUGCGGACUUGCAACGGAUAGCCCGUUUAGGC
RNAcentral lists this unclassified non-coding RNA (143 nucleotides) under Flavobacterium frigidimaris. RNAcentral describes it as "Flavo-1 RNA". The record is from RNAcentral. Lineage: Bacteria; Pseudomonadati; Bacteroidota; Flavobacteriia; Flavobacteriales; Flavobacteriaceae.